UACGUAGGGGGCAAGCGUUGUCCGGAAUCAUUGGGCGUAAAGCGCGUGUAGGCGACCCGAUAAGUCCGCUGUGAAAGUCCAGGGCUCAACCCUGGAAUGCCGGUGGAUACUGUCGGGCUCGAGUCCGGAAGAGGCGAGUGGAAUUCCUGGUGUAGCGGUGAAAUGCGCAGAUAUCAGGAGGAACACCGAUGGCGAAGGCAGCUCGCUGGGACGGUACUGACGCUGAGACGCGAAAGCGUGGGGAGCAAACAGG
This 253-nucleotide ribosomal RNA is filed under the name uncultured bacterium. RNAcentral describes it as "partial 16S ribosomal RNA". It matches the Rfam family "Bacterial small subunit ribosomal RNA", at positions 524 to 776 of the family's 1533-position model. The record is from RNAcentral.